RNAcentral lists this ribosomal RNA (450 nucleotides) under uncultured bacterium. RNAcentral's name for it is "partial 16S ribosomal RNA". It matches the Rfam family "Bacterial small subunit ribosomal RNA", at positions 354 to 796 of the family's 1533-position model. The record is from RNAcentral.
GUGGGGAAUAUUGGACAAUGGGCGAAAGCCUGAUCCAGCCAUGCCGCGUGUGUGAAGAAGGUCUUCGGAUUGUAAAGCACUUUAAGUUGGGAGGAAGGGCAGUAAGUUAAUACCUUGCUGUUUUGACGUUACCGACAGAAUAAGCACCGGCUAACUUCGUGCCAGCAGCCGCGGUAAUACGAAGGGUGCAAGCGUUAAUCGGAAUUACUGGGCGUAAAGCGCGCGUAGGUGGUUUUGUAAGUUGGAGGUGAAAUCCCCGGGCUCAACCUGGGAACUGCCUCCAAAACUGCAUGACUAGAGUACGGUAGAGGGUAGUGGAAUUUCCUGUGUAGCGGUGAAAUGCGUAGAUAUAGGAAGGAACACCAGUGGCGAAGGCGACGACCUGGACUGAUACUGACACUGAGGUGCGAAAGCGUGGGGAGCAAACAGGAUUAGAAAUCCCAGUAGUCC